Molecule: ribosomal RNA, 496 nt
Filed under: uncultured bacterium
Lineage: Bacteria
Description: partial 16S ribosomal RNA
Rfam family: Bacterial small subunit ribosomal RNA
Source: RNAcentral
AUGAACGCUGGCGGCGUGCCUAAUACCUGCAAGUCGAGCGGACGGACGAGAAGCUUGCUUCUCUGAUGUUAGCGGCGGACGGGUGAGUAACACGUGGAUAACCUACCUAUAAGACUGGGAUAACUUCGGGAAACCGGAGCUAAUACCGGAUAAUAUUUUGAACCGCAUGGUUCAAAAGUGAAAGACGGUCUUGCUGUCACUUAUAGAUGGAUCCGCGCUGCAUUAGCUAGUUGGUAAGGUAACGGCUUACCAAGGCAACGAUGCAUAGCCGACCUGAGAGGGUGAUCGGCCACACUGGAACUGAGACACGGUCCAGACUCCUACGGGAGGCAGCAGUAGGGAAUCUUCCGCAAUGGGCGAAAGCCUGACGGAGCAACGCCGCGUGAGUGAUGAAGGUCUUCGGAUCGUAAAACUCUGUUAUUAGGGAAGAACAUAUGUGUAAGUAACUGUGCACAUCUUGACGGUACCUAAUCAGAAAGCCACGGCUAACUACGUG